RNAcentral lists this ribosomal RNA (429 nucleotides) under Bacillota bacterium. RNAcentral describes it as "Firmicutes bacterium partial 16S ribosomal RNA". It matches the Rfam family "Bacterial small subunit ribosomal RNA", at positions 355 to 776 of the family's 1533-position model. The record is from RNAcentral. Lineage: Bacteria; Bacillati; Bacillota.
UGGGGAAUUUUGGACAAUGGGGGCAACCCUGAUCCAGCAAUGCCGCGUGUGUGAAGAAGGCCUUCGGGUUGUAAAGCACUUUUGUCCGGAAAGAAAACUUCGGGGCUAAUACCCCUGGAGGAUGACGGUACCGGAAGAAUAAGCACCGGCUAACUACGUGCCAGCAGCCGCGGUAAUACGUAGGGUGCGAGCGUUAAUCGGAAUUACUGGGCGUAAAGCGUGCGCAGGCGGUGCUGUAAGACCGAUGUGAAAUCCCCGGGCUUAACCUGGGAACUGCAUUGGUGACUGCAGCGCUGGAGUAUGGCAGAGGGGGGUGGAAUUCCACGUGUAGCAGUGAAAUGCAUAGAGAUGUGGAGGAACACCGAUGGCGAAGGCAGCCCCCUGGGACAAUACUGACGCUCAUGCACGAAAGCGUGGGGAGCAAACAGG